Molecule: RNA transcript, 2556 nt
Organism: Cuculus canorus (common cuckoo)
Lineage: Eukaryota; Metazoa; Chordata; Aves; Cuculiformes; Cuculidae
Gene: STX3
Gene name: syntaxin 3
Exons: 14
Source: RefSeq, a predicted model, not a curated record
GUGUCCCUGGGUGUCCCAGGUGCAGGGUGGCUCCACCUCGUCCCUCCCCUCGGCGCCUUCCUGCCUUCCUUGUCACUGUCACUGGGGAUUAGCGAAGGGACAGCCCCAAGCCAGGGCUGGGGGACGGGGACAGGGCCACCGCCACCUUGCCUGGAUGUAGAAGGCCUGGUAGGACCCCAGGGCUGCAUCCCCCAUCCCUGCGGUGGCCAAGGGGACCCCCCUGAGCCCCGCCAGCCCUUGGGGGCACCAUGAAGGACCGGCUGGAGCAGCUCAAGGCGAAGCAAGACCCUGACGAUGACACCGAGGAGCUGGAGAUCGCCAUUGACAACACAGCGUUCAUGGAUGAGUUCUUCUCGGAGAUCGAGGAGACCCGGCAAAACAUCGACAAGAUCUCGGAGAACGUGGAGGAGGCGAAGAAGCUCUACAGCAUCAUCCUCUCAGCCCCCAUCCCUGAGCAGAAGACCAAAGAUGACCUGGAGCAGCUGACGGCGGAGAUCAAGAAAAUGGCCAACAGUGUCCGCAACAAGCUGAAGAGCAUGGAGAGGAACAUCGAGCAGGAUGAAGCACGGUCCUCUGCUGACCUCCGGAUACGCAAGUCCCAGCACUCGGUCCUGUCCCGCAAGUUCGUUGAUGUGAUGACCAAGUACAACGAGGCGCAGGUCGACUUCCGGGAGCGCAGCAAGGGCCGGAUCCAGCGCCAGCUGGAGAUCACCGGCAAGAACACUACGGACGAGGAGCUGGAGGAGAUGCUGGAGAGUGGGAACCCCUCCAUCUUCACCUCUGGGAUCAUGGACUCGCAGAUCUCGAAGCAGGCGCUGAGCGAGAUCGAGGGGCGGCACAAGGACAUCGUGCGGCUGGAGAGCAGCAUCAAGGAGCUCCAUGACAUGUUCGUUGACAUCGCCAUGCUGGUUGAGAACCAGGAGCCCGUGUACGCCCCGGGGAAGGGGCGGGCUGCUGGACAACGUGGAGCAGUAUGUGCUGCACACAGCCGAGCACGUGGAGCAGGCGGCCCAGCAGACGAAGAAAGCAAUCCAGUACCAGGGCCAGGCGCGGAAGAAGAUGCUCAUUUUGGCGGCCGUAGUGGUGCUCUUGCUGGGGAUCCUUGCCCUCAUCAUCGGACUUUCUGUGGGGCUAAACAAGAAAUAGCCCCAGAGGCGGGGGCUGUGCUCUACCUUCCAACCAUCCCAGCGGCGAUGUCUCCCAGAACGACCCCCCCUGGCACCGCAGCCAGGCCCCCUCCUCGCCUCGCUCUCUCAGCCCUGCUGCCCUCAGCCCCACGACCCUGGACCAUGCCCUGCAGCCCCUGCUGUCCUGCCCAUCCCUGGGGUCUUGUCCCCGUGUCCCCUGCAGGAAGGGGACAGGACUCAACUAUUUAUUACCCCUUUUCUGAUGAAUCAACUUCUCCUGGACCCCAUCUCUUGUUGAGGGCCUGCCACCAUGGGGAAGUCCCAGCGAGGGGACACUGCGAGGGCUGGACCCUCACCCACGUGGGCAUCCCAGGAGGAUGAGGGAUGGGAAUACGGUCAGGAUAGGGUGUUUGGUGGCACCAAGCAGGUGGCAGACGGAGCCCCCCGAGAUGCUGUCCCCUCUUGGCCUUGAUGUCUGCAGCUGGUGUGGCCCCAGAUGCUGACUGCGCCCAGAGCCCGGGGUGGCAGGACGCAGUUGUCGCGGUUCUUUAAUUCCCAUUCCAAUAAAGAUCCUGCUGAUGCCCACCCUGUGCCUCUCUGCUCCGUGCAAAGCACGAUGCCGGGGUGCUGUGGGGACAAACAGGGUGCUGGCACCCCUAGACACCCCUAUUUUAGGUCACAGCGGCUGUGGCAUUGCGGCCAGGCUGGUGGCUUUUGCCAAGCUCCAGGGCUCAGGGAGCAGCCCGUCACAAAGAAACCACUCGGAGUGGAGAUGUGACAGGGAGCACAGGGCAGGGGACACCCCCAAACCCCAGGGUGCUGCCAGCCCGGGUCAGUGUCUCCCGCCACGGGUCUGGAAGAAGAUCAUGAUCAUGCUGUGCUGCAUCAUCCUCGUCAUCAUCUUGGCUGCCAGCAUUGGGAGCAUCUUCGCCUGAGACGCCCACCCGCUGCCCUCCAGGUGGCCUUUCUUCCUUCUGCCCCGAUCCUGCCCACAUCCACCUGCGGCUCCAGCCAUCGGAGAGACCCCAACUGCCGGCCCUGGGCCCCACCUGCCAAGCCCUCAUCCCUGGAGCCCCAAGGACAUGCCUCUACCACAGCCCGUGUGUUUCUGGAGGAGUGGAUCCCGCCUGUCCUGCUCCCUCUUUCCUGUCCACCACCAGGUGAACACCCUGACAUCCCCCUCCUCGCUCCCCUCCUCCUCUGUUUGGGCUGAGGGGCAGCGACCCCUGCAAAAACCAGGGUGGCACAGAGUGGCCGGAGGAGCCGUGUUUCCUCCCUGGGGCAGCGUAGAGGGCUCUGCCUCGCUCAGGGUGGAAGGAGAAGCCUCUCCCCUCACUCAAGAGCUCGUCUGCGGCGACUUGAUGUUGCGUCUUGACAGCUCUUUGGAUGUGCAACCACCUGCGCCAGAGCCCUCUUCCCGAAUAAAGAG